GUAUGCUGACGCUUUUGUCCGUUAGCACCCGAGUUUCCGUUUGUCAAUCUAAUUUCCGAUCUUCCGCAAUAUCCGCCCACUGAGGUGUAGCAGGAAAUAUAUUAUUGUGGAAUGCCUCUCAAUGCCACCCAAAGGAAGAAAGAAAAAACGAAAAAAAAAAAAAGAAAAAAAAAAUUAAAGAACCUCAAGUUUUCAAAAUGACUUGUCUUAUUAGCAUUUUCUUAGUUUUACACGAGGAACUAUGGCUGUUAUCGUUAAAGCCUUUUGAGAGAAAAAUAAUUCAUAAGGUAUCCUAUAUUAAUUUUGUUCCGAUAUUCCAAGAAUUGAUACCAGUGUUACUGCGGUUUUUCCGCAGGCUAGGAUAGCGUGGCGACUAAGCAGAGAUAAAUGAACGUUUGAAAAACGUCAUGGUGCGAAAGCUGUGCUUGACAGGACCCCGCAAGUAUCAUUUCUCGCGGUAUGCAUGCCCGUGGGGGAGGUGGGAGGUCUUGUGUGAUCUGACCAAGACGAAAGAAUUGAUGGUCAUUGACACUGAAUGGAGAUGUAUCUGGAUAUACUCAACAAAUUACUUCAUGAACAGCAGCUAUCAUAUCUAUACCAUAUCUUGACUUCUGCUGUGAAAAGCACCACUGGACACAAACUUGCAUGUGAAUUUCUAGUAGAUAUAUCAAUACAUCAAUUUGUUGAAGAAUCCUUAUAUAUAUUAGCUAAGGUUUUUUUGUUUGUUUUUUUGUUGUUGUUGUUGUUUUUUUUUUUAAGGUUAACUAGCCAAGAAGAGAAGUAUACUCGACAGAUUUUCCAAAAGUCUUUGCAUAAUCAGUUGCUGUAUGGUGUACCUUUUUUAUGCAAUAGGCAGCAAGAAACAAACACACCUUGUAAAAUUUUGUAUUGUAUUAUUUUGCCUUCUAUUACACAUCGUUGUAAGUUUCUAGCAAAUCAGUUCUUGCUCUUAGAUCAAUUUAUAGUAAAUUAUCAGCAAAUAUUUACAUUUGCAUCCCGUGCGAAAACGUAUUCAAACAUAGGAUUAAAAAAUUAGUAUCGCACUAUAUUUGCCUGGGUUUGCAAAGAGGAUAAUGCUUGUGCAAAUUCAUGUCUUUACUAAACAUUUGCAGUAUCUGCAAAGGUGAAGGAAACAAAGAGCGCAAUGUCACAUUUAUAUCACAUGUACACAGAAAAAGUGACAAAAAUAUGCAAAUCUGCACGUUUACACAAAUUUAUAUCCCUAAAUUUUCAACAAGUUUGCUUACUUUGCAACCCGA
This is a long non-coding RNA of Pocillopora damicornis (cauliflower coral), 1259 nucleotides long. NCBI's taxonomy places the organism in Eukaryota, Metazoa, Cnidaria, Anthozoa, Scleractinia, Pocilloporidae. The record is from RefSeq and is a predicted model, not a curated record.